UACGGGGGGGGCAAGCGUUGUUCGGAAUUACUGGGCGUAAAGGGCUCGUAGGCGGCCAACUAAGUCAGACGUGAAAUCCCUCGGCUUAACCGGGGAACUGCGUCUGAUACUGGAUGGCUUGAGUUUGGGAGAGGGAUGCGGAAUUCCAGGUGUAGCGGUGAAAUGCGUAGAUAUCUGGAGGAACACCGGUGGCGAAGGCGGCACCCUGGACCAAUACUGACGCUGAGGAGCGAAAGCCAGGGGAGCAAACGGG
RNAcentral lists this ribosomal RNA (253 nucleotides) under uncultured bacterium. RNAcentral describes it as "partial 16S ribosomal RNA". It matches the Rfam family "Bacterial small subunit ribosomal RNA", at positions 524 to 776 of the family's 1533-position model. The record is from RNAcentral.